GUUAGGAAUAUUCGUCAAUGGGGGGAACCCUGAACGAGCAAUGCCGCGUGAGUGAUGAAGGUCUUUGGAUUGUAAAACUCUGUUGUAUGGAAAAAAUAGCUAGGUUAGGAAAUGAACUUAGUUUGAUGGUACCAUACCAGAAAGUCCCGGCUAACUACGUGCCAGCAGCCGCGGUAAUACGUAGGGGACAAGCGUUAUCCGGAUUUAUUGGGCGUAAAGCGUGCGUAGGCGGCAUAUUAAGUUUAAGAUAAAAGCCCGGGGCUUAACUCCGGUUCGUCUUAAAAACUGAUAAGCUUGAGUGUGGUAGAGGUAAAUGGAAUUUCUAGUGUAGCGGUGAAAUGCGUAGAUAUUAGAAGGAACACCAGUGGCGAAGGCGAUUUACUGGGCCACAACUGACGCUGAGGCACGAAAGCGUGGGUAGCAAAUAGGAUUAGAUACCCGAGUAGUCC
This 449-nucleotide ribosomal RNA is filed under the name uncultured bacterium. Its description in RNAcentral is "bacterial SSU rRNA". It matches the Rfam family "Bacterial small subunit ribosomal RNA", at positions 354 to 796 of the family's 1533-position model. The record is from RNAcentral.